Molecule: unclassified non-coding RNA, 821 nt
Filed under: Hevea brasiliensis (rubber tree)
Lineage: Eukaryota; Viridiplantae; Streptophyta; Magnoliopsida; Malpighiales; Euphorbiaceae
Source: RNAcentral
GGAUUUUGUUAGUGAUGAGAGAGGGCUUGCGAUCCAGCGCCAAAUUGUUGGCGAAAACUGACGAUGGUGAGUCGUCGCCUUGCCAAGCAACCGUUAAAAUGGAGGUAGACAGUACUGAAGAAAGGGGCUUCAACUCGGCUGCUGAGAGCACCCCAAAAUUGGUUGCUUCUUGGACUGAAAAAGAUAUAUUAGUUUCUGCCCCAAAAGAAGAAACAGAGAUGAAUCAGAUUGAUGGGUCAAGUUAUGGGGAAUGUGGUACUGGGAGAGAUACUGGUGAAGAUAUCGUUGUGAAGUGUUCCAAUAAUUUGUGGAAAAGAAGUAGAAUAGAUGAUGAGGGAGAGAGUGAAGAUGAUAGUGUCAAAAAACAGAGGGUGAAGGAUGAUGCAGUGGAUGGUGAAUUGCAGGUUGUUGGCAGGGUGCUGCGGUCAGGGUCUACAGUGAAAUCUGAUGGUGGGCAAAAAGAUGAAGGGGGACAAAGUAAUGAUGCUUUUGUUGGGAAAAAGACCAGGAGAGGUGCUUUUGAGGAGAAGAGGGCCACGGUGCAAAAAGAAGAGAGUGGUUAUUUUGAUGGCAGGGACAGUUAUCAGUCAGGUAGUAUGAAGGGGAAAAAAUUAGUACGCAAGCGUGGGAGGCCUCCCAAGUCUUUGAAGUAUGAGUUUCAGGAAAAAUGGAGUGAUGUGAUAAAGGAAGAUAUUGAACAAUCUGCUGGUCGAAAGGGUGUGAAAAGAUUAAAGAUUCAGCGUGGACGGCCUCCCAAGGCACUGGAGAAUUAUGAGUCUGAGAAAAAGUGGGGUGACGUGGAAAAGGAAGGGAUUGGUUUA